CUACAGGUUGUAAAGCACUUUUGUAGGCGAGGAAGAUAUCAGUGUUAAUAACAUUGAUAUUUGACGUUACCCUAAGAAUAAGCACCGGCUAACUCUGUGCCAGCAGCCGCGGUAAUACAGAGGGUGCGAGCGUUAAUCGGAAUUACUGGGCGUAAAGGGUGCGUAGGUGGCUAAUUAAGUUGGAUGUGAAAGCCCUGGGCUUAACCUAGGAAUUGCAUUCAAUACUGGUUAGCUAGAGUUGAGUAGAGGGAGGUGGAAUUUCCGGUGUAGCGGUGAAAUGCGUAGAUAUCGGAAGGAACACCAGUGGCGAAGGCGGCCUCCUGGACUCAAACUGGCACUGAGGCACGAAAGCGUGGGUAGCAAACAGGAUUAGAUACCCUGGUAGUCCACGCCUUAAACGAUGAGAACUGGAUGUUGGAGGGAUAAAACCCUUUAGUAUCGAAGCUAACGCGUUAAGUUCUCCGCCUGGGGAGUACGGCCGCAAGGUUAAAACUCAAAGGAAUUGACG
Molecule: ribosomal RNA, 508 nt
Filed under: uncultured bacterium
Lineage: Bacteria
Description: SSU rRNA
Rfam family: Bacterial small subunit ribosomal RNA
Source: RNAcentral